RNAcentral lists this long non-coding RNA (498 nucleotides) under Homo sapiens (human). Its description in RNAcentral is "HSALNT0384465". The record is from RNAcentral. Lineage: Eukaryota; Metazoa; Chordata; Mammalia; Primates; Hominidae.
GAAACAUCAUUUCCUCCUCCUCUUGAGGGCAGGAGUCCAGGCGCAGCCCCAGCAGCAGGUUGGAAUAAAUGCAGAUGCUGCAAAUUGAUGGAGGCCUGGUGUCUUCCAGAGUGGAGGUAAAGGCUGGCUGAGGAAUCAGUGAGGCCAGGAAGAGGGCUCAGCUGAGCAACUGAUCAAAGCAUCCCUCUUCAGGAAGGAGCUUCCUGUGUUUUCUCUGGGAACUCACCUGUUUUCCACUCCAGACUCUCCAAGAUAUGCAGAGCUUUGGGCCAGGAUCCUACAGCCACGGGUCAUGCAGAGCCAGUUGGCCACAUCCUUUGGGCCAAAUUUGGUCCUAACCAGGUCUUACCACGGUAACUGCUAACCAGUCCAUCUUCAGUUAAUAUUUCAUGCGAAUUGUUGAACAUCUUACCAUUUAAUCCAGAAGUUAUGUCCUUUAAGGAAUCGACCCUGAGCCUGUGAGUUUUACUUUGGGUUGGGGGUGAAGGAGUGGACCUU